UGGAAGGAAAGCGGUGAGAAGCAGAGGGCAGUGGGCCACUCAGAUGCGAACGUGGCGUGGGAGGCGGUGAAAAAAUGCAAUAUUUCCCAACUUUAUGCAAAUCAAAAGUUGCGACCACAGGGUGAUGACCAACCAUAGCGAGUGGUUUCCAUGACAAAUUUGACGUUAUGCGACCCAAGGCGGAAGACUUUCUUCAGCAAAGAUGGCUGACAAAAAGCAAAUGGAAGCAAAUGGACUCCUGAAACAACCAGCAUACCAGGCUGUCGUCUUGUGAAACAGUUGAUGUAAAACAUUUCGCUAGCUAAAGCGUUUACUACAAAUUGAAUGUACAAUUUUGUAAGCUUGCCUUGCUGAUAUUUGCCAUGUAAUGCAGCUGAUGUAACGUAGCUAGCUAACUAUUUUCUUGCUUAUUGUGCAGUAGAGGAUAAAAAUACCUGUAUGCAUAUGGAUGUGAAGCUAGCUAUGUAGCCAAUCUUUGACCCUAAAACGUUUGGUAUACAUAUUAGUUCAGAACCUAGCUAUGAACCUCAGCUAUCAUAGCCAGCUGUAUCAACUUCAAAUUGGUCUGAAUGACAUUAAUGAAGCCUAUGGAUUGAGUGUAAUAUAACUUUGUGCAAAGGAUACAAGUCGGAUGGAUAUACAUGUAGUUAUUGCCAUGCAUGAGAUCCCCACAUUGUAGCCUGUACAUUUAAUAUAUUGUCUGAUCAUGUACUCUACCUUGGCAAAUAAAGGUGCAGUAUUUGUCAGUCAUAUCCAAAACCAGGAGUAUCAAAUUCCAGUCUUUGAAUGAUGCUGUGUCUGCACAUAUGUAUUACAAAUAUACACUUAAACAGUGUUUCCCAAUCCUGGGACAUCAAUGGGCACACAUUGUAACUAUGCAAUAGACUAUAAACAUGAUUUAACUAGUUAAAGGCUGAUUUGUAAUUCAUAUAUACAGAAAUAUAAUUUAAAGAACAGUACACUACACUUCCUUUGCAUCAUGUAAAUACUCUAAAACCGGUUAGUCUCAAUAUCUAAUUUCCUUCAUCUGCAUCGAUCUGAGAAACACAGGAUAGGUGUAGCAUUUAAUCAAAUGAGACACUUAAUUUCAACCAGUAGAGAAUGUGAAACGCUUUAUUGAAAGAAGUUAAUUAUCCAAGUGUUAUGAAUACAUAAUAGAUGUAUUAUAAUUGUAAUUUUAUAAAUACAAGUUCAAGCUGUACUUCAAUGCACAUCUGGUGUGCAUUAUAAAAACAGGAAGAAAGAGGUGGCGAGAGAGGUGUAAAAGAGAAUGGGAAAGAGGUAACAGAGGAUCAGGGAAGACAGCAUAUGAUUAAUGAAUCACAGUGCUACCCAAAUAUUCUCUGUUCAUCAUAAUUACAUAAUAGUGUCUCUAGUGGUGUCUCCUAACCAGCCUUAGGCUCCCAGUCAGCCCAAAGGUUAUCUUAAGAGCGGGUGAGUUGGCAAUGACUGGACUCAGGGUUGGCAUCCUCUCACAUCAAGACAUACCUGCAGACGAGAGACAGAUGGAGACAGAGAGCAUGUUUAAGCCUUGUUUUUUUAUUAUUAUUCUGCCAGUCAUCAAUCAUCAGGAGGUGAAAUGCAAAGCUGACCUUGGAUCAUUAAUUCUGGGACUACAUAUAUCUGUAUUUCAAUAUAAAGCAUCUCUUUAAUAAUACUUCCUGUUGACCUGACCAAGGUCAACACCUGGGUGGACUUAAAAUAGCCUGUUUUGUUUUGUACAGACAUCACAUCCUUACCUAAACAGAACCCUCACCUGAGAUGUAGAAGUCAAAGGGAGAGAAACUGAAAAUUGAAUAAAUGCAGUUGACAUAGCUAAGUAAAUGGAAGAAUAAUCUUAUUAAAAUGUGGGUGGCUCUUAAAAAAAUAGCCUUUGGUUGUGCAAAGUGUAGUCUAUGGUGUUGCCAGGGAACAGCACGCUCAUCGAAGUAGUAUCAAAUCAAAUGUAUUUAUAUAGCCCUUCUUACAUCAGCUGAUAUCUCAAAGUGCUGUACAGAAACCCAAGUACAGAAAGAAGUAGGAGGUGGAGAUCUCCUGCACACAGAUUGCCUCUCUUGCUGUGUUGUUGGACCCCAUCCUUGAAACAUCCUGCAGAGCAGCAGACUUCUCCUCUGGCACAUGGCAGCGAGCUGUAUAUCUCCUUCUGGACCUUGUGUCCAUCCUCAUGAAGUUAUGCAGGACACAGGAAGACUUCACACGCCUGAAUUCCCCCAAGAGGCAGUCCCAGAUGGCUCUGGUCACCCAACCUUGCAGUGCCCUACACGGUAAAUAUAGGCAAUCGUUUUGAAAAAAUAUCUAGUUACAAGGCAUCUGUAGUGUAGUAACCUGGUAUAUUUAUGUUUACCAAUAGAUGGCAGUAUUGACUCAAGACGGGGGUUUGCUUUGCGUUAUCCGUAGCCGUUUUCUUUGCCAGAUAACCAUGCUCGAGAAAGCCUCAGCAAGUUUAUGCCAGGUGCAUUAGGGUAUGUUAUUCUAAGUUACCAUUAAAUACUCCAUUAAACACUAAACCAUCAAUCUAAGAAGCCUCUUGAGAUACUAGAUAUUUGGCGACGAGGAUGUCUGCGUUGGAUUUGUUUUCCACGAACUCAACUGAGUGUUUAGCGUGCGACGCUGGAUGUGCGACUCAAGACCUGAGCCCUUAGGACCAUGCCUCAGGACUACCUGGCAUGAUGACUCCUUGCUGUCCCCAGUCCACCUGGCCGUGCUGAUGCUCCAGUUUCAACUAUUCUGCCCGUGGCCAUGGAACCCUGUCCUGUUCAGCGGACGUGCUACCUUUCCCAGACCUGCUGUUUUCAACUCUCUAGAGACAGCAGGAGCUGUAGAGAUACUCUUAAUGAUCGGCUAUGAAAAGCCAACUGACAUUUACUCCUGAGGUGCUGACUUGUUGCACCCUCGACAACUACUGUGAUUAUUAUUAUUUGACCAUACUGGUCAAUUAUGAACAUUUGAACAUCUUGUCCAUGUUCUGUUAUAAUCUCCAUCCGGCACAGCCAGAAGAGGACUGGCCACCCCUCAUAGCCUGGUUCCUCUCUAGGUUUCUUCCUAGGUUUUGGCCUUUCUAGGGAGUAUUUCCUAGCCGCUGUUUUGGGGUUUUAGGCUGGGUUUCUGUACAGCACUUUGAGAUAUCAGCUGAUCUAAGAAUGGCUAUAUAAAUACGUUUGAUUUAAUUUGACUUUAAAAUGUUGGUUGUUGAUUCAAGUGUGUUCUUGUUUUGAUGGCUGUGGAAUUUUAUUGUGAUUAUACCCUAAUUGUUCUUGUGUUAUUUUAAUGUAAUAGAUGUAUCAAGGGAUGACACAGAGACCUCUGGCUCUGAGCAAGACAGUGAGCCAGAGCUGCCAGGAGAUUUCAUCGAGCCCCUCCCAAAUGCAUCAAGCACCAGAUAUGUUGUUCCAAAAGGACCCACUGGUAGGCCUGUCCUAAACUUUAAUCUACACAUUUUAGUUAGCAGCUGUUAGUAUCUAAUCUUGUGGAUCCCUUAAUUAUACUUUUCAAUAGAGAUAUGACACAUUAUUUAAUGUGUAUUUCAGACAUUUCAAGAUCCAGAGAAGAGGGUCCUGUACAGCAGUGUUUGAAAACAUUUCCCAGAACUCAGUAUGUUAAACUAAUUUAAAUGUUGAAAGAUAAUGAUUAAAUAAUUCCCACUGAAACCUUAUAACUGUAUGAAAUUGAUUAGAAUCAUACAUUUAUUAUCUGAUGGGUUUGUUUAGGUUUAGUCAGUAAAAGUAUAAUUAAUGAGGUGUUUAGUUUUAGUCAGAAUUAGGGUAAAACAAUAUAAACUGUGCAAUAUGUCUCUAAAGUGUCUUAAACACAAACUGUCUGAGCAAGAUUCGGUGCCGACCUUGGCUAGGGGCCACUGAGAGAUUUGGGAAAGGACAGGGAGUGAUUCUCACAGUCCCUAAUCUUUGUCGGCUGGGUAGCAGGACAGUGUGUGCGUAGGAUACCUACUGUUGUGUGAAAAUGUAUGUGUGUAUGAACUCUGUUUGUGUGCAAGAGUAUGUGCGUAAGGAGCUAGUAUAAAAUGAAUGGUUUUGUACAACUAACCAGCGCUCUCGUAAAUAAACUUUCUGACUAUCGUA
Long non-coding RNA from Salvelinus fontinalis (brook trout), 4076 nucleotides. RefSeq lists it as uncharacterized. The transcript has 3 exons. The record is from RefSeq and is a predicted model, not a curated record. Lineage: Eukaryota; Metazoa; Chordata; Actinopteri; Salmoniformes; Salmonidae.